Non-coding RNA from Brachypodium distachyon (stiff brome), 125 nucleotides. NCBI's taxonomy places the organism in Eukaryota, Viridiplantae, Streptophyta, Magnoliopsida, Poales, Poaceae. The record is from Rfam.
CUAGUACUCCCUCCGAUCCUAAAUUCUUGUCUCAAAUUUGCCCAAAGAUGAAUGUAUCUAUUCUUAAAAAGCGUCUAGAUACAUGUAAUAUUUCGACAACAAUUUAGGAUCAGAGGGAGUAACAU